RNAcentral lists this ribosomal RNA (519 nucleotides) under uncultured bacterium. RNAcentral's name for it is "partial 16S ribosomal RNA". It matches the Rfam family "Bacterial small subunit ribosomal RNA", at positions 355 to 867 of the family's 1533-position model. The record is from RNAcentral.
UGGGGAAUUUUGGACAAUGGGCGAAAGCCUGAUCCAGCCAUGCCGCGUGCAGGAUGAAGGCCUUCGGGUUGUAAACUGCUUUUGUACGGAACGAAAGACUCUGGUUAAUACCUGGGGUCCAUGACGGUACCGUAAGAAUAAGCACCGGCUAACUACGUGCCAGCAGCCGCGGUAAUACGUAGGGUGCAAGCGUUAAUCGGAAUUACUGGGCGUAAAGCGUGCGCAGGCGGUUAUAUAAGACAGAUGUGAAAUCCCCGGGCUCAACCUGGGAACUGCAUUUGUGACUGUAUAGCUAGAGUACGGCAGAGGGGGAUGGAAUUCCGCGUGUAGCAGUGAAAUGCGUAGAUAUGCGGAGGAACACCGAUGGCGAAGGCAAUCCCCUGGGCCUGUACUGACGCUCAUGCACGAAAGCGUGGGGAGCAAACAGGAUUAGAUACCCUGGUAGUCCACGCCCUAAACGAUGUCAACUGGGUUGUUGGGUCUUCACUGACUCAGUAACGAAGCUAACGCGUGAAGUUG